This 338-nucleotide ribosomal RNA is filed under the name uncultured bacterium. RNAcentral's name for it is "bacterial SSU rRNA". It matches the Rfam family "Bacterial small subunit ribosomal RNA", at positions 28 to 353 of the family's 1533-position model. The record is from RNAcentral.
AAUCAACGCUGGCGGCGUGCCUAACACAUGCAAGUCGCGCGCGAAAGGGGGGGCAACCCCCCAAGUAGAGCGGCGAACGGGUGAGUAACGCGUGGGUGAUCUACCUUCGAGUGGGGAAUAACACCGGGAAACUGGUGCUAAUACCGCAUGACAUCCUUGGUUCAUUCUGAGGAUCAAAGCCGGGGACCGCAAGGCCUGGCGCUUGAAGAGGAGCCCGCGUCCGAUUAGCUAGUUGGCGGGGUAACGGCCCACCAAGGCUCCGAUCGGUAGCCGGCCUGAGAGGGCGGACGGGCCACACUGGGACUGAGACACGGCCCAGACUCCUACGGGAGGCAGCA